UUAAUUGAAGAGUUUGAUCAUGGCUCAGAUUGAACGCUGGCGGCAGGCUUAACACAUGCAAGUCGAGCGGUAGCACAAGAGAGCUUGCUCUCUGGGUGACGAGCGGCGGACGGGUGAGUAAUGUCUGGGAAACUGCCUGAUGGAGGGGGAUAACUACUGGAAACGGUAGCUAAUACCGCAUAACGUCGCAAGACCAAAGAGGGG
Molecule: ribosomal RNA, 204 nt
Filed under: Serratia marcescens
Lineage: Bacteria; Pseudomonadati; Pseudomonadota; Gammaproteobacteria; Enterobacterales; Yersiniaceae
Description: partial 16S ribosomal RNA
Rfam family: Bacterial small subunit ribosomal RNA
Source: RNAcentral